Molecule: non-coding RNA, 102 nt
Organism: Sclerotinia nivalis
Lineage: Eukaryota; Fungi; Ascomycota; Leotiomycetes; Helotiales; Sclerotiniaceae
Source: the annotation of a GenBank genome assembly
UCCCUGCUGGCGCAAUGGUAGCGCGCAAGACUUCUAUGUAGGGCUCAAUCCUAUGUGUAAUCCGGAAUCUUGAGGCUGUUGGUUCGAGCCCAACGUAGGGAG